RNAcentral lists this long non-coding RNA (242 nucleotides) under Trifolium pratense (red clover). Its description in RNAcentral is "long non-coding RNA (TPRA_LNC004812)". The record is from RNAcentral. Lineage: Eukaryota; Viridiplantae; Streptophyta; Magnoliopsida; Fabales; Fabaceae.
UGCAAGGCUUUAAGCACGCUGGCCGCAAAGGGGCUGAACGGCAGCCUGAGCCCCAUCUCCUUAAAUACAAAUUCGUACAUAGCGAAACCAUGCCCGUCAAAGGACGAGCACACCCGUUCACCCUCCCCGGGUAUAUGGGUCGACCAAUUUUGAAGCCCGUCUGCUCUCUGCUGCUCGACGGUCAUAUAUAAUCUUGGAUCCUGGGAAGUAAGCGACGAGGCUAUUCCCCGGGGCUCUGGAGC